RNAcentral lists this ribosomal RNA (253 nucleotides) under uncultured bacterium. Its description in RNAcentral is "partial 16S ribosomal RNA". It matches the Rfam family "Bacterial small subunit ribosomal RNA", at positions 524 to 776 of the family's 1533-position model. The record is from RNAcentral.
UACGAAGGGGACUAGCGUUGUUCGGAAUCACUGGGCGUAAAGCGCACGUAGGCGGAUUAGUAAGUCAGGGGUGAAAUCCCGGGGCUCAACCUCGGAACUGCCUUUGAUACUGCUGAUCUCGAGUCCGAUAGAGGUGGGUGGAAUUCCUAGUGUAGAGGUGAAAUGCGUAGAUAUUAGGAAGAACACCGGUGGCGAAGGCGGCCCACUGGAUCGGUACUGACGCUGAGGUGCGAAAGCGUGGGGAGCAAACAGG